UUCAUAAUAAACAUAAGGUAUUUAUUAAAAUGAUUAUCGUUUAAAUGUAAAUUUGAAAAGUAAUAUCAAGGUAAAGUUAGAAUUUCCUCUAAAUUUUUAAUCUAGUGUAUAUAUGAAAACAUGCAUGCCACCUCUUUCAAAAUUGAUUUAUAUGUUACUACUAUAUCAUACAUUGGUUAUUUAAUUUUUAAAUAUCCAUCAUAUCUAUAUUAUUAUAUGCAAAGUGAUUUUUCAAAUUUCAGCUCUAAUAUUAAAAGUUAAAGUGAUUAAUAUUGUUUAUAAAUAGUUAUGGAAAACAUAUUAGGUCAAUUAGUUAAUGAAACAUGUGAAAGUACUUAAUUCACAUAAAAGAAGAAAAAAUAUGCAUCAAUAUUAAAUACAAAAAAAAAAAAAACAAAUAGGGCCAUGAUAUUCAUCUCUAUUCACGGGAAUAUCGAUGAUAAAAUAACCACAAGCUCUCCACGCGCAUUAACCUAUGUAUCAAUCGUGUCCAUACACGUGUCAACGAUCCACAGCCUCAUCAUCAUCACCCCCUCCAUCGGUCUUCUUCUUCAUCAUCCUUGUCCACUUUUCUGGCGAAAGCAUCUCAACGGUCAAAAAUGCUUCUCAAGACGGUUUCUUCGUCUUCCGCUGCUCGUGAGUUUCCAUGGCGGAAUCAAGGACGUUUCUCCUCUGCUAUCCUCCGCGAACCAUACACCACCGGAGCUUCUUCCACUUCAGUCUCCGAUCAAUCACCCAGGAGUUGUAUGUGAACAUUGGGUACCGGAAACAUGGUCAUGCUUUUGAGUUGAGCCUUUGUUGUAUUCAUGUAGAUAUUUGUUACUUAGUUUUGUUUUUUUUUUCAGGCCUUCAAGAUCCCGAUUCUGUGUUGGGUUCACUCACACGUGAGAUCAAAGAAGUUGGGCCUGAUGGGCAGGAGGUGACUAAAGUUGUACCUGCUGUUACGGAAGAAGACCAAGGGAUUGAAAUUCUAACGGAAGCCAUAGCAGCUUGCACCGAGACAAUUGAUCAACACAAGGGCAAGCUCGUCGUUAAGGAGGCACCUAGGGCUGUGAGUGAACGAUGCUGACAGAACACAUGGCUAAGCUAAGAAUGGACAAUGAAGAAAUCAGCGGCAAUGAAGAAGAAGAGGAGGACACAGGGAUGGGUGAAGUUGACAUUGAAGGUGCCGGAAUCGUUGAGUAGGAUUCUUAGCUGGUUUCAUAGUUUUCCGACCAACAUGAGUAUUUUUGCUAUAAAGUAGAAAUCUCCAAGAGGUUGUGUGUUUUUUUUUUCUUUUGUUGUUUUUCACCCGUUGAGGGGUUUAUAUACUCGUAUGUAUGGUUUUAUAAAGUUUUGACUAUUACUGCAUCAUGAGUUUAAACCUGAUUGGAUUUGACUA
Molecule: RNA transcript, 1381 nt
Organism: Brassica napus (rape)
Lineage: Eukaryota; Viridiplantae; Streptophyta; Magnoliopsida; Brassicales; Brassicaceae
Gene name: eukaryotic translation initiation factor 2 subunit alpha homolog
Exons: 6
Source: RefSeq, a predicted model, not a curated record